CCCCCCACCACCUCCCGUUCAUUAUCCUUGGUCUUCACCUCCACCUACACCUACAUCUCCAUCUACCGAACAUCAGACCCCUCCAGCUACCUUGCCGACGCAUGAACGAGAAGACGGGUUAGACUUUGUCGAAACCCUCUUCGCUAGUGGAGGUAUCGACCAGCACUCGUCACUGUAACCCGAUGGUGAUCGGCGACCGUUAGCUUCCAUGUUAUUGUGUUAUGAUACUUGAGACUUUUAUUAUGACUAUGUAUGAGAUAUUGUCUCUUAUUAGUACUGGAUGAUGA
Long non-coding RNA from Zea mays, 287 nucleotides. RefSeq lists it as uncharacterized. The record is from RefSeq and is a predicted model, not a curated record. NCBI's taxonomy places the organism in Eukaryota, Viridiplantae, Streptophyta, Magnoliopsida, Poales, Poaceae. The transcript has 2 exons.